RNAcentral lists this ribosomal RNA (1472 nucleotides) under Bacillus amyloliquefaciens. RNAcentral describes it as "bacterial SSU rRNA". It matches the Rfam family "Bacterial small subunit ribosomal RNA". The record is from RNAcentral. Lineage: Bacteria; Bacillati; Bacillota; Bacilli; Caryophanales; Bacillaceae.
GACGAACGCUGGCGGCGUGCCUAAUACAUGCAAGUCGAGCGGACAGAUGGGAGCUUGCUCCCUGAUGUUAGCGGCGGACGGGUGAGUAACACGUGGGUAACCUGCCUGUAAGACUGGGAUAACUCCGGGAAACCGGGGCUAAUACCGGAUGCUUGUUUGAACCGCAUGGUUCAAACAUAAAAGGUGGCUUCGGCUACCACUUACAGAUGGACCCGCGGCGCAUUAGCUAGUUGGUGAGGUAACGGCUCACCAAGGCGACGAUGCGUAGCCGACCUGAGAGGGUGAUCGGCCACACUGGGACUGAGACACGGCCCAGACUCCUACGGGAGGCAGCAGUAGGGAAUCUUCCGCAAUGGACGAAAGUCUGACGGAGCAACGCCGCGUGAGUGAUGAAGGUUUUCGGAUCGUAAAGCUCUGCUGUUAGGGAAGAACAAGUGCCGUUCAAAUAGGGCGGCACCUUGACGGUACCUAACCAGAAAGCCACGGCUAACUACGUGCCAGCAGCCGCGGUAAUACGUAGGUGGCAAGCGUUGUCCGGAAUUAUUGGGCGUAAAGGGCUCGCAGGCGGUUUCUUAAGUCUGAUGUGAAAGCCCCCGGCUCAACCGGGGAGGGUCAUUGGAAACUGGGGAACUUGAGUGCAGAAGAGGAGAGUGGAAUUCCACGUGUAGCGGUGAAAUGCGUAGAGAUGUGGAGGAACACCAGUGGCGAAGGCGACUCUCUGGUCUGUAACUGACGCUGAGGAGCGAAAGCGUGGGGAGCGAACAGGAUUAGAUACCCUGGUAGUCCACGCCGUAAACGAUGAGUGCUAAGUGUUAGGGGGUUUCCGCCCCUUAGUGCUGCAGCUAACGCAUUAAGCACUCCGCCUGGGGAGUACGGUCGCAAGACUGAAACUCAAAGGAAUUGACGGGGGCCCGCACAAGCGGUGGAGCAUGUGGUCUAAUUCGAAGCAACGCGAAGAACCUUACCAGGUCUUGACAUCCUCUGACAAUCCUAGAGAUAGGACGUCCCCUUCGGGGGCAGAGUGACAGGUGGUGCAUGGUUGUCGUCAGCUCGUGUCGUGAGAUGUUGGGUUAAGUCCCGCAACGAGCGCAACCCUUGAUCUUAGUUGCCAGCAUUUAGUUGGGCACUCUAAGGUGACUGCCGGUGACAAACCGGAGGAAGGUGGGGAUGACGUCAAAUCAUCAUGCCCCUUAUGACCUGGGCUACACACGUGCUACAAUGGGCAGAACAAAGGGCAGCGAAACCGCGAGGUUAAGCCAAUCCCACAAAUCUGUUCUCAGUUCGGAUCGCAGUCUGCAACUCGACUGCGUGAAGCUGGAAUCGCUAGUAAUCGCGGAUCAGCAUGCCGCGGUGAAUACGUUCCCGGGCCUUGUACACACCGCCCGUCACACCACGAGAGUUUGUAACACCCGAAGUCGGUGAGGUAACCUUUUUGGAGCCAGCCGCCGAAGGUGGGACAGAUGAUUGGGGUG